This 318-nucleotide unclassified non-coding RNA is filed under the name plant metagenome. RNAcentral's name for it is "partial contains 5.8S ribosomal RNA, internal transcribed spacer 2, and large subunit ribosomal RNA". The stretch from base 1 to 105 matches the Rfam family "5.8S ribosomal RNA", at positions 50 to 154 of the family's 154-position model. The record is from RNAcentral.
GAAAUGCGAUAAGUAAUGUGAAUUGCAGAAUUCAGUGAAUCAUCGAAUCUUUGAACGCACAUUGCGCCCGCCAGAAUUCUGGCGGGCAUGCCUGUUCGAGCGUCAUUUCAACCCUCGAGCUCCCCUUUCGGGGGGAGCCCGGCGUUGGGGACCCGGCGCUAACAACGCCGGCCCCGAAAUGGAGUGGCGUCCCGUCCGCGGCGACCUCUGCGUAGUAACAACCACUCGCACCGGGACCCGGGCGCGGCCACGCCGUAAAACACCCCACCUUCCGAAUGUUGACCUCGAAUCAGGUAGGAAUACCCGCUGAACUUAAGC